Long non-coding RNA from Lycium ferocissimum, 2546 nucleotides. RefSeq lists it as uncharacterized. Lineage: Eukaryota; Viridiplantae; Streptophyta; Magnoliopsida; Solanales; Solanaceae. The record is from RefSeq and is a predicted model, not a curated record. The transcript has 5 exons.
ACGCACAAAGGAAAAUUCACGUUUCAUCUAACUGCCUCAUUUAUCAUUUAUCAUCUGUAUAUCCCGAUUCUCCAAUUUUUGUUCAUGUAUGAACUUCCAAUGGUUCACAAGAGACUUAAUCGACAGAAACUGCCCCAUUUACCAUCUGUAUCCGGCUUCUCAAAUUUCCUUUCAUGUUUGAACUUUUAUAUUGUUGCAGCGAUUUACGGAGACUUAUUCGAUAGAAAUAGCCUUCAAUCUCAAACUAAAAAGAGUUUGACACGAAGAUAUGUGGGAUAGGCAAAGCUGAGUUUUCAAGCUCACGUCGUCAUUCCUUCUUUAGAGGUCAGUUUCAAACUCAAAUUGUUGCAUACGUCUAUCCUAUUUUCUGAAAAACGAAUCUCACCAAGCACCAUUAUGGGCUAUGACGUGAGAUGGAGAAUGAGAUCAACUGACAAUUGAUAUGGUAAUUGAGAAACGAAUUGGUAUAUCUUUGAGUGCUCUGCCUUUUCAUGUGCAGACUUCUGUAGAUUUUUAUGUCCCUAAAAGUACUUAUGUAUUUGCUGAACAUAUAGUUUGCAAUUUGUUAGCAUGAAAUUGCGGCUAGACCGAGAAGCCUUUUUUGUGACCAUGAUGACACAACCGUCCUAAUCCAGAAACCGGGAAUGCAAGUGAUGGUCUUCAAAAUCUGUGUUAUGGUAAUUGCUGAUUUUUUUUUAAUCAUUUUCGUAAUUCUUGCGUAUAUUUUGCAGAAAAUGAGAUCACUAGACAGCCAAAUGAGGCAUUUGGUGUAUCUGAUAGACAAUGUCAUUCUUAAUCUUCCACAUGGCCAAGAGCAAAUGCCAUGGUUGAUAGACUACACAGGAUGGUCUUUAACGAAUAAUGUUCCCCUCAAAUAUUAUUGGUUAGUGAGGUUUUCAUUUGUUUUGCUUGGUUGGUUGAGACAAAUCGUUAAAAUCAAAACUCCCGAUAAAGUGAUAUAUAUCUGCAGUAUUUAAUCCCACUAAUUCAUGUGUAACAAAAAACAGUCUGCUCACACAGUUAGUUGGAUAUUCUUUAUGUAAUUAAAGGUAUGUGGUCCUUUAGUUACUCCCUAUUUAAGAAGCGUCAUGAAGCUUUUGCUCACAAUAUAAUAUUGCAGGUGCUAAUGUGGUUUUUGAAAAAAUGAACGACACUUAGAGCUAGCACUUCGUAGAGUGUCGACAACUUUUCAUUCUCUUCUUUUGCCUUGAAGAUAAGUAAUCUUCAGAAUUAUUGUCAUCAUCUUUUGUGUUUCUUUAAAACAAUCCACAUUCUACACAACUUUUUUACUUUCUCAUCAUGCCUCUUCUCUUUAUCAUUAGUAUAUAUCUAUGCUUCUAAUAUGUAACCCACUAAUUUUUCAUAUGAAUUGCUAAAAGUUGAUAUGAAAAAUAAGUUCAUGCUUCUCCUAAAUAUUUGUUUCAUGUGAAAUCUUUGCAUAUUAAUAAUACAUUUUAUAUUUUAUUGCAGAUAUCAAAUCUCUCAAUGUCUUCAGAUUCGAGAAAAACGCAUAGCAAAGUGUAUUCUCCACUUUUCAGGUGUUGAAUUUGAUGCUCAAAAUGGUUUCAAAGUUCUUUUGAAUAUCAAUAUAAUUGGCUUAUCUUGAUGAAGCACAAGGCAGAAGAAGGUAAAUCAUGGAGAAAAAGGAACACCAGUGGUUGAGGUAAGGAGAAAAAGGAACAACAGCAUAAACUGAGAAUGAUUUCAAGCAUUCAAAAUUCAAAUAUCUCAUUGGUUUACAUUGCAUAUGAUGCAAGUCGCUUUUACGGGAGCUAAUGGCUAUGGCUAUAGCUUCAAGAAUGCUUACAAUUAAAUAUGUUAAAGAAGUCAAAGAUGAAAAGAAGAAAUGAGCAUAAUCAAAGGCCAUACAUCAUGAAAAAGAUGCGUACUUUGACCAAGGAUUGCAGUAAGGUGGAUUUUUUUCCCCUCUGAAACGAUAAAUACACCCAUUAUAUCCACCUAAUAGCUUAAUGUUAGAAAUUACCAGAAGUACCACCAUUAGAUUAGAAAAAAGUUCACGGCUUCUAAAACAACAAAUAGUAGUGGAUUGCAACAUCUACUCCCAUGAUGCUAAUUUUGGUACCCACGGAAUGCACGGCAUUAUCAAAUUAUAUAUUAAUUCAGUCAACUUAUGUUUUCGCUUUUUACAAGGAAGUUUCUAUUAGGAAGCUUAUCAUGUAUUAGCUAACUUUCUCUUUUAUUUCCUUUAGCCUGAUGCUUCUAUAUUGCAUUAUUGAAUUAGUAAAAAUGGGUCAUUAUAAGAGUGUUUCGAAAGCACUGCAGUUAUCAUCUUUUGUAUUUUAACAAGUUUUCUUAAAUAAUUAAAAGGUUAGAUUUACUAAGAUCACUUUACUUAAGCUACUUGGUCAGUAAGUAAUGGAUUAAAUAUCACAGUAAAAAUUACAGAUGUAUCUAGCUUCCUCAAGCUACUAUAAAAAUUUCUUUCUAAGUUGUAUUGUUCAGAGUAACGCUUUGCACGAUGCCAUAAAGAAGAUUUCAGAAAUUAAUACAAGAAGUUGGAUCAUAAAUUUAUUUGAUUGGAUAGU